UACGUAGGUGGCAAGCGUUGUCCGGAUUUACUGGGCGUAAAGAGCGCGCAGGCGGUCGUUCAAGUCGCGUGUGAAAGCCCCCGGCUCAACUGGGGAGGGUCACGCGAUACUGAUCGACUGGAAGGCAGGAGAGGGUAGUGGAAUUCCCGGUGUAGUGGUGAAAUGCGUAGAUAGUCGGGGGAACACCAGUGGCGAAGGCGACUACCUGGCCUGUUCUUGACGCUGAGGCGCGAAAGCUAGGGGAGCAAACGGGG
RNAcentral lists this ribosomal RNA (254 nucleotides) under uncultured bacterium. RNAcentral describes it as "partial 16S ribosomal RNA". It matches the Rfam family "Bacterial small subunit ribosomal RNA", at positions 524 to 777 of the family's 1533-position model. The record is from RNAcentral.